AAAGAGUUAAUAUACAAAAAGUAAGAAGAAUCUGAUAAAGGCGCCUCCACCAACAUCUGUCCAAUCCUGUCGAUGCUACAUGACAAGAUGAGUCCUCAUAAGCCAGCUAUUCCUGCUUAACUGUCUCCAAUCAAUCUUCAAGGAAUCUUUAAAAGCCACUUUUUUUCUGCUUCACACUAUCUUCAGUCUCCCACUAUCUCCACCGACAGGCAAUCAAAGCGUCCACCUGUUCUAAAGAUAGCCGUCCGAUAAAAAGGAAGAUUAUCUUCUCAGCUAUAUAAGGAGCAAGCCCCUCAUUCAGCAAAACAGGUCUUGAAACACCUUCGAAGCAAAAGAGGCUAGCUCUAAGUCUUCUUCUGCUUCUCUCCUCUUCUGAAAAGCCUCCUCUCUUCUCUCUCUCUGUUCUAAAAAGCCUCCUCUCUUCUCUCUCACUUCUAAAAAGGCCUCCUGUUCAUAUGUAUAUAUCCGGUGUGGAAUUCUCUCUAUAAUAUAUCUAGUGUGGAUUGCGCUCUGGUAACAAUUUCUACCUUUCUUAUCUAUUUAUAGUAUGUGUGACUGCAACUUUAACUCCCUUCCGAGAUACUAUCCUCAGGAAUGGAGGAUGUUUUCCGGUUAUUGUAUAUGUACACAGUAAGUAUUGUGUAAGAAAAUUUUGUGUUUAUUUUUCUAUCUGUAAUGCAAGUUAAGCUCAUGUUUAGCUUUAAAAUUAGAGAUACUGUUUAUACUAGUUGGAUUGUUUUAGACAUAUCUAUAAUUCCUGUUUUUGCUAUAAUUGGAAUAAUUUUAUAUUAUAUAGGAUUGUUAAAAAUAAUAGUUAAUUGCAAUUUAGGAUAUUUAUUAUUGUAAGAAAAGUUGUUAAAUAGGUCAUGGCGUCAAAUGAUAUCAGAGCCAUAGAAUUAAAAUAUAUCUUCAAAGAAUUUUUAACAAUAGACUGUUUUAGUUGGUUAUAAUAUCUUAAAAGAUAAAGAGAUAAUAAAAUUUACCAUUAGGAAGGAAGUCCGAGAGUUAAGACUACUUGACGCCCAGUCAGAAAGACCGUUUAGGCCAGGAGGACGAGCUGAGGUCGUAAAGGACGUAAGAGGUUGUCUAUAGUCAUUAUCCGUACCUUCAAUGGAAAACUUCAUUAGAACUUUAUCUAAUAAGACAUUAUCACCUUCUAAGAACACUCUAAGGUUAAAAAACAAAGAAGAAAUUGUUAUUGAUAAUAUUGAGCAACAAGUUCAAAAUUGGAACCUUCCCUAAGUUCCAAUAACAGAUAUUUUUUAAAAAGGGUCAUUCCAAUUAAAAAUAGGAUAUGCUAUAAAAACCGUAGAGCAAAGUCUA
This 1323-nucleotide long non-coding RNA is filed under the name Amborella trichopoda. RNAcentral's name for it is "long non-coding RNA (ATRI_LNC001213)". The record is from RNAcentral. Lineage: Eukaryota; Viridiplantae; Streptophyta; Magnoliopsida; Amborellales; Amborellaceae.